Molecule: unclassified non-coding RNA, 329 nt
Filed under: plant metagenome
Description: partial contains 5.8S ribosomal RNA, internal transcribed spacer 2, and large subunit ribosomal RNA
Rfam family: 5.8S ribosomal RNA (bases 1-105)
Source: RNAcentral
GAAAUGCGAUAAGUAAUGUGAAUUGCAGAAUUCCGUGAAUCAUCGAAUCCUUGAACGCACAUUGCGCCCUCUGGUAUUCCGGGGGGCAUGCCUGUCCGAGCGUCAUUGCGAACCCCUCAAGCACGGCUUGUGUGAUGGGCCCUCCCGCGUCUUGGUCGUCAAGACGGGCCCGAAAUGCAGUGGCGGCUUCGCGGUUAUCCGAUCAGCCAGAGCGUAUGGGGACUUUCUCUCUGUCACACGCCCGCGGCGCGGACCGACGCCUGUCGACCUUUAUUCAUCUUUUUCUCGGUUGACCUCGGAUCAGGUAGGGAUACCCGCUGAACUUAAGC